AACGCUGGCGGCGUGCUUAACACAUGCAAGUCGAACGGUGAACCAGAGCUUGCUCUGGGGAUCAGUGGCGAACGGGUGAGUAACACGUGGGCAACCUGCCCCAGACUCUGGGAUAACCUCGGGAAACCGAUGCUAAUACCGGAUACGACCACUUCGGACAUCCGAUGGUGGUGGAAAGUUUUUCGGUCUGGGAUGGGCCCGCGGCCUAUCAGCUAGUUGGUGGGGUAAUGGCCUACCAAGGCGACGACGGGUAGCCGGCCUGAGAGGGCGACCGGCCACACUGGAACUGAGACACGGUCCAGACUCCUACGGGAGGCAGCAGUGGGGAAUAUUGCACAAUGGGCGAAAGCCUGAUGCAGCGACGCCGCGUGAGGGACGACGGCCUUCGGGUUGUAAACCUCUUUCAGCAGGGACGAAGCGAAAGUGACUGUACCUGCAGAAGAAGCACCGGCUAACUACGUG
RNAcentral lists this ribosomal RNA (462 nucleotides) under uncultured bacterium. RNAcentral's name for it is "bacterial SSU rRNA". It matches the Rfam family "Bacterial small subunit ribosomal RNA", at positions 32 to 507 of the family's 1533-position model. The record is from RNAcentral.